AAACCCUAAACCUAACAAAUGCAGAAACGGCGCUGCUCACUACCGUUCAUCAUCUUCCUCGUCUACUCGGUCCUCAACUCACCUGAAACUCAGGCGAGUUCACUCAAAUGGGUCCCCUCCUCUCCACGUCACUUUUAUUCCAAAAAAUUUCUGUCAGAGAAUAUUCCCGAAUUUGCACGAUUUGUGUACUAUGGAGCAAUUUGCUGGAUAAAUGGGAGCCGUGGAUAGAUGUAAAUCGAUCCAUGCCUUCUAUUUGUCCCAAAAAUCAUUCAAAAACGAGGGGAUUUUUCGGAUUUUUGGCAGAAGCUUCGAGAUUCUUUGAGGGUUAUAUAUAUGAGGGAAUCUAUUUUGGCCUGUGUUUGGGCUUAAUUGCGUGACGUGCAUCUAGGCUCAGUUGUGAGCCCAAUGGGUGAUGAUGUCCAUUUCAUAUUUUAAGGGAAACGUUCAAUAAUACACUGGGCCUGCCAUUGGCCCAGUUCCUGCCUCGAAUACUUAGGCCUGUUUACAAUGCUUUACACAUUAAUCAAUGGCUUGAGUCUAAGUUUAGAUGUAAAUAUCUUUAGGUUUAAUUAAGUGUAAUCCUUUUAAAAUGGUUGGAGGCGUGCCAUCUUUCGUUAAAAUUACCUAUGGCCCUCUUGUGAGCAAUACAAAAUUUAGAAGUAA
Molecule: non-coding RNA, 663 nt
Organism: Nicotiana tabacum (common tobacco)
Lineage: Eukaryota; Viridiplantae; Streptophyta; Magnoliopsida; Solanales; Solanaceae
Source: RefSeq, a predicted model, not a curated record